GUUUUCACAGGGCAGCAGAGAAGGUAAUGGAAGGUGUUAUUUAUACUAAAAAAAUUGAAGCUUUUGGUUAUCAAUUGAUAUAUGGGGGCCAAUCAGGGGACGGUACUCGUACCAUUAGUAAUAAUUCUAAACUUGAUGACUAAGAUUCUCAUUUUUUCGAAGUCAAAGUAGUUAGAAUAUAAUGGAUGCUUUAUCAAAUGGUAACUUCCUUUGAAUGCUGUUCAGUUGUCAAGUUGAUUUCAGAAAGUUGUAUUGUGCACCUGCUCAUAAACAACACAGCUUUAGUGUACAUGAUGUUGGGAUUGCAAUGUUGAUGCAGCCUUGUAAAACCACUUAAGAAAUCUAUCAUUAACUUUUGGGGGACUCUUAUGUGCCUGGGGAUUAGUCAGUGGUGAAAGAGCUUUGGACACAUUGAAAUUGAAAAGAAGGAAUUAUUCAGUAUUGUUUCUUUCUUAGGAUGUCAUCUGAGUAAGUUCUGAUGGUUUCCAAGUAAAGUAUUGUUUAAGGAUGAUAAAACAUUUUAGAAAAUAUCUAUGUGAAAUAGUAGAUCAUUCAUAAGUCUCAAAAAAGUACCAAAGUGUCAUGGGAGACCACUGCACAUUGCAGCAACAUUAUGCUUGUGAAAAAUGAUAAAUCUCUAUCUUCCCUGAUUAGAGGUUUCAUGCAUUUGCAAGGCUUAUUGCCUUGUAUCCUCUAUGUGUGUUUGUGUGUGUUGCCAG
RNAcentral lists this unclassified non-coding RNA (719 nucleotides) under Hevea brasiliensis (rubber tree). The record is from RNAcentral. Lineage: Eukaryota; Viridiplantae; Streptophyta; Magnoliopsida; Malpighiales; Euphorbiaceae.